AUUGAACGCUGGCGGCAUGCCUUACACAUGCAAGUCGAACGGUAACAGGUUAAGCUGACGAGUGGCGAACGGGUGAGUAAUAUAUCGGAACGUGCCCAGUCGUGGGGGAUAACUGCUCGAAAGAGCAGCUAAUACCGCAUACGACCUGAGGGUGAAAGCGGGGGAUCGCAAGACCUCGCGCGAUUGGAGCGGCCGAUAUCAGAUUAGGUAGUUGGUGGGGUAAAGGCCCACCAAGCCAACGAUCUGUAGCUGGUCUGAGAGGACGACCAGCCACACUGGGACUGAGACACGGCCCAGACUCCUACGGGAGGCAGCAGUGGGGAAUUUUGGACAAUGGGCGCAAGCCUGAUCCAGCCAUGCCGCGUGCGGGAAGAAGGCCUUCGGGUUGUAAACCGCUUUUGUCAGGGAAGAAAAGGUUCUGGUUAAUACCUGGGACUCAUGACGGUACCUGAAGAAUAAGCACCGGCUAACUACGUGCCAGCCGCCGCAGUAA
RNAcentral lists this ribosomal RNA (493 nucleotides) under uncultured bacterium. RNAcentral's name for it is "partial 16S ribosomal RNA". It matches the Rfam family "Bacterial small subunit ribosomal RNA", at positions 30 to 523 of the family's 1533-position model. The record is from RNAcentral.